Molecule: long non-coding RNA, 770 nt
Organism: Aegilops tauschii subsp. strangulata
Lineage: Eukaryota; Viridiplantae; Streptophyta; Magnoliopsida; Poales; Poaceae
Source: RefSeq, a predicted model, not a curated record
CCGUUUCCCCGUUCCCCACCCUCACACCCUCUCCCGGCGACGAGCAAAUCCCGCACGAAAUCCCUAGCUUCGCAACGAGCGCGGGCGGCGAGAGUCGAGAGAGCCGGCGACGAGUCUAAUUCAACGAGCGCGGGUGAGAUGAGGAAGGAGAGGCGCUCAACCUGUUUUCAGUAGGCAACUUCUCGGCAGCGCCUGUGGUUCAAUAUGCAUUUUCUGCAAGUUUUUUAGUGGUUUAAGAUGGAGCACUCUCCAAAUCAAUAUGAUAGCGAGGGAGCAGUAAGAACAAGCGUCAUGGCUGGGAACAACACUGGGGUUUUACAAGGUCGUACGCGCCCUAGGAGGAAGCAGGUUCAGGAAGGAAAUAGUACCAACAAGCAGUCUCCCUCACACCCCUAUGUGUCUCAUUUUUUUCUCUAUCAAAGCAAGGUGUAAGACAAUAGGCAAGAAAGAGCCAGCAACUCUAUCUAGCACCAUGGUUGUACAGGAACAGGGGAUCAAAUUUGGGGCAAGAUUCAAAUCAGGCUUUGCAACACUGGGGUACAUGAGGCAAAUCUGCAACACUGGGGUACAGGAGGUACAUCUGGGGAGUUCGACUAGUUAUAGUAGAAGUAAGAAGAAUCUCAUGAUCAAAAUUUCUGGAACAGUCCUGUUAUUACCUUUUGUUGUUCUUCCCCUGGGGGGAAUUUGCCCAAUUCUGGCAACUUUUUUGCCCAUGUUUUCUUCAGAUUAUUGCCUGGUCAACACAAAGAGUUGCAGACGAGCUUGUGUUC